UGUUUUAAAAGAUGUUGCAAAGGGAAAGC
RNAcentral lists this non-coding RNA (29 nucleotides) under Rattus norvegicus (Norway rat). The record is from RNAcentral. Lineage: Eukaryota; Metazoa; Chordata; Mammalia; Rodentia; Muridae.